UUUCCGUAGGUGAACCUGCGGAAGGAUCAUUCAUAAUAAAGUGUUUUAUGGCACUUUUUAAAAACCCAUAUCCACCUUGUGUGCAAUGUUAGAUCUCGUCAAUCUUGGCGAGAUUUUUAUACAUCAACUCAUUUUUUAACUAAUUUGUCUGAAAAAUAUUAUGAAUACUUAAUUCAAAAUACAACUUUCAACAACGGAUCUCUUGGCUCUC
RNAcentral lists this unclassified non-coding RNA (211 nucleotides) under plant metagenome. Its description in RNAcentral is "partial contains small subunit ribosomal RNA, internal transcribed spacer 1, and 5.8S ribosomal RNA". The record is from RNAcentral.